RNAcentral lists this ribosomal RNA (915 nucleotides) under Falciformispora senegalensis. RNAcentral describes it as "eukaryotic LSU rRNA". It matches the Rfam family "Eukaryotic large subunit ribosomal RNA", at positions 38 to 963 of the family's 3401-position model. The record is from RNAcentral. Lineage: Eukaryota; Fungi; Ascomycota; Dothideomycetes; Pleosporales; Trematosphaeriaceae.
GCAUAUCAAUAAGCGGAGGAAAAGAAACCAACAGGGAUUGCCCUAGUAACGGCGAGUGAAGCGGCAACAGCUCAAAUUUGAAAUCUGGAUUCCUUGACUGGGUCCCGAGUUGUAAUUUGCAGAGGGUGCUUUGGCGUGGGCGGCGGUCUAAGUUCCUUGGAACAGGACGUCACAGAGGGUGAGAAUCCCGUACGUGGCUGCACUGCCCGCGCCGUGUAAAGCCCCUUCGACGAGUCGAGUUGUUUGGGAAUGCAGCUCUAAAUGGGAGGUAAAUUUCUUCUAAAGCUAAAUACUGGCCAGAGACCGAUAGCGCACAAGUAGAGUGAUCGAAAGAUGAAAAGCACUUUGGAAAGAGAGUCAAACAGCACGUGAAAUUGUUGAAAGGGAAGCGCUUGCAGCCAGACUUGCCUGCGGUUGCUCAGCCGGGCCUCGUGCCCGGUGCACUCUUCCGCGGGCAGGCCAGCAUCAAUUUGGGCGGCUGGAGAAUGGCCUCUGUCACGUACUACCCUUCGGGGUAGCCUUAUAGGGGAGUCGUCAUGCAGUCAGCCUGGAUUGAGGACCGCGCUUCGGCGAGGAUGCUGGCGUAAUGGCCGCAAGCGGCCCGUCUUGAAACACGGACCAAGGAGUCUAACAUCUAUGCGAGUGUUUGGGUGUCAAGCCCGGGCGCGCAAUGAAAGUGAACGGAGGUGGGAACCCCCUUGGGGCGCACCAUCGACCGAUCCUGAUGUCUUCGGAUGGAUUUGAGUAAGAGCAUAGCUGUUGGGACCCGAAAGAUGGUGAACUAUGCUUGAAUAGGGUGAAGCCAGAGGAAACUCUGGUGGAAGCUCGCAGCGGUUCUGACGUGCAAAUCGAUCGUCAAAUUUGGGGCAUAGGGGCGAAAGACUAAUCGAACUAUCUAGUAGCUGGUUCCUGCGA